RNAcentral lists this ribosomal RNA (309 nucleotides) under Triticum aestivum (bread wheat). RNAcentral's name for it is "partial small subunit ribosomal RNA". Lineage: Eukaryota; Viridiplantae; Streptophyta; Magnoliopsida; Poales; Poaceae. The record is from RNAcentral.
AUGACAACACUAACAAAUUUUGCACCUACACUAAACACUUCACAAGUUCUUCAUGAUCCGAACAAAAGGACAAGACCAGUUUCACACUUCAAUAGAAAAAUACAACUUCAUUCCUUGCUAAAAGUUAGUCAACACUUUCUUCAUCUCCUCGUUAUGUGCAUUGCCAUCUUCGUGAAUACAUUUGCCUUUCUAUGUGGACUUAUUAUCCAACAUGCACACUUGCUCCGUCUCUACCUCCACAUGAAGAAACUUGGACGUUGCCUGCUCUAUCAUCUCAUCUCUAGCAACCUCUAUACCAGCACACAAUAG